RNAcentral lists this ribosomal RNA (425 nucleotides) under Boana calcarata group sp. ABGD cluster 17. Its description in RNAcentral is "partial large subunit ribosomal RNA". It matches the Rfam family "Bacterial large subunit ribosomal RNA", at positions 1834 to 2447 of the family's 2925-position model. Lineage: Eukaryota; Metazoa; Chordata; Amphibia; Anura; Hylidae. The record is from RNAcentral.
CUUGCUAAAAUAUAAGAGGUCCAGCCUGCCCAGUGAUCCAGUUCAACGGCCGCGGUAUCCUAACCGUGCGAAGGUAGCGUAAUCACUUGUUCUUUAAAUGGGGACUAGUAUGAAUGGCAUCACGAGGGUUGAACUGUCUCCUUUCUCUAAUCAGUGAAACUAAUCUCCCCGUGAAGAAGCGGGAAUCAUUUUAUAAGACGAGAAGACCCUAUGGAGCUUAAAACAAAUUGACACAUGCUUCCACCUACUUCAAUUCCUGAAUAAAUAUAUAAAAUAUAGCAUCAUUGAUUAAUAGUUUUAGAUUGGGGUGAUCAUGGAGCAAAAAACAACCUCCACGACGAAAAGGAAUAUUCCCUGAGCCAAAAGCCACAACUUUAAGCACUAAAAAAUUAACGCAUCUUGACCCAAUUUUUUGAGCAACGAAC